GGGUGAGUAACGCGUAAUCAACCUGCCCUUCAGAGGGGGACAACAGUUGGAAACGACUGCUAAUACCGCAUACGAUUCCACCUCGGCAUCGAGGAGGAAUGAAAGGUGGCCUCUACAUGUAAGCUAUCACUGAAGGAGGGGAUUGCGUCUGAUUAGCUAGUUGGAGGGGUAACGGCCCACCAAGGCGAUGAUCAGUAGCCGGUCUGAGAGGAUGAACGGCCACAUUGGGACUGAGACACGGCCCAGACUCC
Molecule: ribosomal RNA, 251 nt
Filed under: uncultured Veillonella sp.
Lineage: Bacteria; Bacillati; Bacillota; Negativicutes; Veillonellales; Veillonellaceae
Description: partial 16S ribosomal RNA
Rfam family: Bacterial small subunit ribosomal RNA
Source: RNAcentral